AUGAGUCACCCAGGGAUCUCAUUAAAAUGCAGAUGCGGAUUCUGGGGGGCUGGGUGGGGCCGGGGAAUUUGCAUUACUAACCAGCCCCCAGGUGCGGCUGGU
RNAcentral lists this microRNA precursor (102 nucleotides) under Marmota monax (woodchuck). Lineage: Eukaryota; Metazoa; Chordata; Mammalia; Rodentia; Sciuridae. The record is from RNAcentral.